GACGAACGCUGGCGGCGUGCUUAACACAUGCAAGUCGAACGGAAAGGCCCUGCUUUUGUGGGGUGCUCGAGUGGCGAACGGGUUAGUAACACGUGAGUAACCUGCCCUUGACUUUGGGAUAACUUCAGGAAACUGGGGCUAAUACCGGAUAGGAACUCCUGCUGCAUGGUGGGGGUUGGAAAGUUUCGGCGGUUGGGGAUGGACUCUCGGCUUAUCAGCUUGUUGGUGGGGUAGUGGCUUACCAAGGCUUUGACGGGUAGCCGGCCUGAGCGGGUGACCGGCCACAUUGGGACUGAGAUACGGCCCAGAAUCCUAAGGGAGGAAGCAGUGGGGAAUAUUGCACAAUGGGAGGAAGACUGAUGCAGCAACGCCGCGUGCGGGAUGACGGCCUUCGGGUUGUAAACCGCUUUCGCCUGUGACGAAGCGUGAGUGACGGUAAUGGGUAAAGAAGCACCGGCUAACUACGUG
Molecule: ribosomal RNA, 468 nt
Filed under: uncultured bacterium
Lineage: Bacteria
Description: partial 16S ribosomal RNA
Rfam family: Bacterial small subunit ribosomal RNA
Source: RNAcentral